RNAcentral lists this ribosomal RNA (165 nucleotides) under Gnetum latifolium. RNAcentral's name for it is "5.8S ribosomal RNA". It matches the Rfam family "5.8S ribosomal RNA". From Rfam's summary of the family: 5.8S ribosomal RNA (5.8S rRNA) is a component of the large subunit of the eukaryotic ribosome. Lineage: Eukaryota; Viridiplantae; Streptophyta; Gnetopsida; Gnetales; Gnetaceae. The record is from RNAcentral.
ACCACGACUCUCGACAAUGGAUAUCUCGGCUCUCGCUUCAAUGAAGAACGUAGCGAAAUGCGACACUUUGUGUGAAUUGUAGAAUCCCGUGAAUCAUCGAAUCUUUGAACGCAAGUUGCGCCCGAGGCCCUAGGUCGAGGGCACGUCUGGCUGGGGGUGGUGAUG